Molecule: transfer RNA, 72 nt
Filed under: Desmophyllum pertusum
Lineage: Eukaryota; Metazoa; Cnidaria; Anthozoa; Scleractinia; Caryophylliidae
Description: tRNA-Thr
Source: RNAcentral
UCCGUAGCUCAGUGGUUAGAGCAUCCGACCGGUGUACGGAAGGUCAUGGGUUCAAAUCCACGCUCGUAACAA